RNAcentral lists this ribosomal RNA (429 nucleotides) under Bacteroidota bacterium. Its description in RNAcentral is "Bacteroidetes bacterium partial 16S ribosomal RNA". It matches the Rfam family "Bacterial small subunit ribosomal RNA", at positions 355 to 776 of the family's 1533-position model. Lineage: Bacteria; Pseudomonadati; Bacteroidota. The record is from RNAcentral.
UAGGGAAUCUUCGGCAAUGGGGGGAACCCUGACCGAGCAACGCCGCGUGAGUGAAGAAGGUUUUCGGAUCGUAAAGCUCUGUUGUUAAGGAAGAACGAGUGUGAGAAUGGAAAGUUCAUGCUGUGACGGUACUUAACCAGAAAGGGACGGCUAACUACGUGCCAGCAGCCGCGGUAAUACGUAGGUCCCGAGCGUUGUCCGGAUUUAUUGGGCGUAAAGCGAGCGCAGGCGGUUAGAAAAGUCUGAAGUGAAAGGCAGUGGCUCAACCAUUGUAGGCUUUGGAAACUGUUUAACCUGAGUGCAGAAGGGGAGAGUGGAAUUCCAUGUGUAGCGGUGAAAUGCGUAGAUAUAUGGAGGAACACCGGUGGCGAAAGCGGCUCUCUGGUCUGUAACUGACGCUGAGGCUCGAAAGCGUGGGGAGCGAACAGG